GAUGAACGCUGGCGGCGUGCCUAAUACAUGCAAGUCGAGCGAAUGGAUUAAGAGCUUGCUCUUAUGAAGUUAGCGGCGGACGGGUGAGUAACACGUGGGUAACCUGCCCAUAAGACUGGGAUAACUCCGGGAAACCGGGGCUAAUACCGGAUAAUAUUUUGAACUGCAUGGUUCAAAAUUGAAAGGCGGCUUCGGCUGUCACUUAUGGAUGGACCCGCGUCGCAUUAGCUAGUUGGUGAGGUAACGGCUCACAAAGGCAACGAUGCGUAGCCGACCUGAGAGGGUGAUCGGCACACACUGGGACUGAGACACGGCCCAGACUCCUACGGGAGGCAGCAGUAGGGAAUCUUCCGCAAUGGACGAAAGUCUGACGGAGCAACGCCGCGUGAGUGAUGAAGGCUUUCGGGUCGUAAAACUCUGUUGUUAGGGAAGAACAAGUGCUAGUUGAAUAAGCUGGCACCUUGACGGUACCUAACCAGAAAGCCACGGCUAACUACGUGCCAGCAGCCGCCGUAA
This 516-nucleotide ribosomal RNA is filed under the name uncultured bacterium. RNAcentral describes it as "partial 16S ribosomal RNA". It matches the Rfam family "Bacterial small subunit ribosomal RNA", at positions 28 to 523 of the family's 1533-position model. The record is from RNAcentral.